Molecule: ribosomal RNA, 301 nt
Filed under: uncultured bacterium
Lineage: Bacteria
Description: partial 16S ribosomal RNA
Rfam family: Bacterial small subunit ribosomal RNA
Source: RNAcentral
CAGCAGCCGCGGUAAUACGAACCGUCCGAACGUUAUUCGGAAUUACUGGGCUUAAAGCGCGUGUAGGCGGGUCGGCACGUCGGACGCUGAGAUCCCCCGGCUUAACCGGGGAAGUGGCGCCGAUACGGCCGGCCUGGAGGGGGGUAGGGGGGCCUGGAACUUCCGGUGGAGCGGUGAAAUGCGUUGAGAUCGGAAGGAACGCCCGUGGCGAAAGCGAGGCCCUGGACCUUUUCUGACGCUGAGACGCGAAAGCCAGGGGAGCGAACGGGAUUAGAUACCCGAGUAGUCCCUGUCUCUUAUA